UCCUANNGGGNAGCAGCAGUAGGGAAUCUUCCGCAAUGGACGAAAGUCUGACGGAGCAACGCCGCGUGAGUGAUGAAGGCUUUCGGGUCGUAAAACUCUGUUGUUAGGGAAGAACAAGUGCUAGUUGAAUAAGCUGGCACCUUGACGGUACCUAACCAGAAAGCCACGGCUAACUACGUGCCAGCAGCCGCGGUAAUACGUAGGUGGCAAGCGUUAUCCGGAAUUAUUGGGCGUAAAGCGCGCGCAGGUGGUUUCUUAAGUCUGAUGUGAAAGCCCACGGCUCAACCGUGGAGGGUCAUUGGAAACUGGGAGACUUGAGUGCAGAAGAGGAAAGUGGAAUUCCAUGUGUAGCGGUGAAAUGCGUAGAGAUAUGGAGGAACACCAGUGGCGAAGGCGACUUUCUGGUCUGUAACUGACACUGAGGCGCGAAAGCGUGGGGAGCAAACAGGAUUAGAUACCCUGGUAGUCCACGCCGUAAACGAUGAGUGCUAAGUGUUAGAGGGUUUCCGCCCUUUAGUGCUGAAGUUAACGCAUUAAGCACUCCGCCUGGGGAGUACGGCCGCAAGGC
Molecule: ribosomal RNA, 568 nt
Filed under: fuel tank bacterium S14
Lineage: Bacteria
Also listed under: 1 other name
Description: bacterial SSU rRNA
Rfam family: Bacterial small subunit ribosomal RNA
Source: RNAcentral